UACGUAGGGGGCCAGCGUUGUCCGGAAUCAUUGGGCGUAAAGCGCGCGUAGGCGGCCAGAUAAGUCCGGUGUGAAAGUCAAAGGCUCAACCUUUGAAUGCCGCUGGAAACUGUCUGGCUUGAGUCCGGAAGGGGCGAGUGGAAUUCCUGGUGUAGCGGUGAAAUGCGCAGAUAUCAGGAGGAACACCGGUGGCGAAGGCGGGUCUCUGGGCCGAUACUGACGCUGAGGAGCGAAAGCGUGGGGAGCGAACAGG
RNAcentral lists this ribosomal RNA (253 nucleotides) under uncultured bacterium. Its description in RNAcentral is "partial 16S ribosomal RNA". It matches the Rfam family "Bacterial small subunit ribosomal RNA", at positions 524 to 776 of the family's 1533-position model. The record is from RNAcentral.